Molecule: long non-coding RNA, 480 nt
Filed under: Panax ginseng (ginseng)
Lineage: Eukaryota; Viridiplantae; Streptophyta; Magnoliopsida; Apiales; Araliaceae
Description: long non-coding RNA (PGIN_LNC013743)
Source: RNAcentral
CCGAGUCUGUUUCAAAAAUUUAUUAAUAUCUGAAAUUUGAGAUAACUUAUCAACUUCAAAAAUUUAAUAUUGGAUACAAAAGUAAUGCUAUGAGAUCUUGGGAAGUUAAUUUGUGCAUCUGAUCUGUAAUAAAUGGAACAUAUAUAUACGCCUUGUUAUACUUACAAUUAUUUACUUAUUAUGUUAUGUACAAAUGAACUUAUAUAUUAUUAUAGGUACGUAUAUGCCACUUUAUUAUACUAUACUACUCAUAUACAAAUACAAAUUAUGUAACAAUAAUUUGAAACAAUCCUACUCAGAAGUGAAUAGAACCUAGCUGGUUUUGCUUGGCCUUUAUGUGCUCUGGGCUGUAGUUUACGUACUUUACUCAGGCGGUAACUAACUGCUAAACCCCUUGUAUAUAUAGAUAGAUAGAUAGAUAGGCCUAGUUACUCGGGGAUGUAUUGCCCUUUUUAACUUUUGUUAUUUCGUUAUAUUAUU